Camellia sinensis is the source of this 1073-nucleotide non-coding RNA. NCBI's taxonomy places the organism in Eukaryota, Viridiplantae, Streptophyta, Magnoliopsida, Ericales, Theaceae. The record is from RefSeq and is a predicted model, not a curated record.
GGCCACAAAUAAAGCACAUCCUUUGAUAUCUGUGGAUUGAGCAGAGACGUGACUUGAGAGAGACAGAGAUUGAGGGCUGAUUCUUUGAUUUCCAUCGAUUUUUGAUGAUUUUGAUCUGGAAAAUCUGUUCUCCCUCUUGACUUGAGCGUUUAUCUUCGAGAUUGUUCGACUCUCUCUGAUCUAAAUCGAUCUAGGGCUCAAGACAGUGCAUUAACAUUGCCGAGGUCAUUGAGAAUGAGUGGUUUAAGAAGGGAUAUAAGCCUCCUGUUUUUGAAAAUGAGGAUGUUUGUCUCGACAAUGUGGAUGCUAUUUUCAAUGAAUCAAGGGACACUCAAAGCCUUGUCGUGGAAAGACGGGAAGAACAACCUGUGAAUCUUGUCUCCAUGAAUGCUUUUGAAUACUUAUAUCUAAAUCUUAGGGUCUCAACCUCAGUUCUCUGUUUGAAAAGCAAAUGACCCUGAACUGAAGCUUCAAGAGGAGAAAACUGGGUGCAAGGGUCAUUUAUCUAUUGCAACAGAGAUUUAUGAGAUGGCUCCCUCACUUUCACUUUGCAUGGUUGAGCUUCUCAAGGCUGGAGGGGACACCUUAGAAUUUCAUAAGGAAAAGUAGUUUCUAAAGGAUAGCUGAGUAGUGAAAUAUGAUUUGGAAUGAUCUUCAACUUUGGCUUAGAAAUUCUUAUUGUAGUCAUCGAGUUCAUGUAGUUCAAGAAGAUAUGUUGCAAUGUCAUUGAUUCAACACCAUCUCCCAGGCUUUAUAAUUGAACUGAUCAAAACUCAAUGUUAGAGGGUCUUUUUUUGGUUAUAAGUUUGUUUAUCUGUUGAUCGGGUGCGCUCUCAUUUUCAUAUUUUUUUUUUAAUAGGGUGUUAAUAGUGUCAACAAACUGACUUCUAGUUGCAAAGUAUAGAUUUGGAGGUUUGCAAAAAAACAUAGGGGUGAUUUGAAGAAAAUUCAAACUGUUACAGUAUGAUUGAGAUUUGGAAAGUUGUAGGGUUAAAUCUCCAAAGAGAUAAAUUAAAAUUUUUAUGGUCUUCAAUUUGGCAUUGUAAUUCAAAUUUGAGUCAAUCUGUGUUCAU